Oreochromis aureus is the source of this 2720-nucleotide long non-coding RNA. The record is from Ensembl. Lineage: Eukaryota; Metazoa; Chordata; Actinopteri; Cichliformes; Cichlidae.
AUGAUGAUAAUGCAGGAGCAACUGCCAACUGUUCCUUCAUGCUCUCUCUUAUGACCGAUCUAAUGCCUCAGCAGUGCCGAGGGUUUUUGGGUUAGAUUGACAUUUAGCCAAACAAACUGCAUCCUGUGUGAGCACGUCUAACGCCGUGGCCUGGUGCUACUGACAGCCAGUGCAUGCAGCAGGUCCUGGGGUUACAGUGCACUUUGUUGAGCUAGCCCGGUGCUGGUCGUCCAUCUGUGGUGCUCUCUACCAGCAGCAAGCAUGCUCGUCCACUCCUGAUCUCUGAUGCCCAGCAGCUGUGUCGUCAGCGUGGCCAUACAGCCACUGGGAUUUUUACAGCAGCAUUUCCGGUCUCGAGUCCUGUUAGGUGCUAUCAGACCUGGCCUCACGUCCUGUCACUGACCUGUUCAGCAGUGACCAGCGUGUAGUGUAGACCUGUACCAGAGUCCAAGGUUUGACUCCAUUCAGGUGGAUUUGUCCUUAAAACCCACAGUUUUACUGAAGCCCAGUGACUCGAUGAGGCUUGGGGCAGGUCGUGGUCGGGUCCAGAACGAUGGGUAGAAGCUGUGUUUUGACUCUUUGUGAUUCUCCAAAUGAUUUUCCAGCACUGCUUUACCCAAAGGGAAGCUUGCAGAGAUUCAGAGAUGGGUCCGAAUGUGGAAGACGGUGCUGUCCACGUCUCUGACUGUUCAAGGUGCUCAGUGUCUUUUCAUUGUUGGUUGUAUACAAACCUACAUUCAGCUCUUCACCUCACCUGGAGUUUCAUAGAAAGUGGUCACCUGUUAACAGAGCUGGGGUCAAAGUCCUCCCCCAUUCUGACAUCAUCAGGGUUUCUGCGGCGACUCGGUGUGAAGAAACCUUGAAAUUUGCCUUUUAAUGCACCACGCCUGCCUCUUUCCCACUGAUGUGGUACCGAAACAGUGGCCCCACCAGAGAGCCUGCUGCUCCUGAAGUUCGGACCCGUGACGUCAAACGCUACGGGAGGGCCUACCGCAAGAAAUUCAUCCAGUGAUUGGCAGACUCUGGGUGGGGUCCUUUUCCCGCAGACAUUAGCCCAACAUCUGCUAACGAUUCUCAGAUCUGUGUGCUGGUUCUGGCACCAGUGGAAAAGUGGUCAUUGUGACCAGUAACAGUUCUCAAACACAAGCUCCUGUACUUCCUGCCUCCUCAGACGUCCUGUUUCCUUCCCUGACCACACAGUGCUUCAGCUCUGCUGUUUACAUCUCUUCACCAAACCUGCCAAGAUGAAGCUCGGACGCCUUUGUGUUUCGAAUUGAGUUUGGGUCCGUUUGUUAAUUACAGUCUGUGUUCACACUCUGUUUGUUUUUCGCCUUAAGGUUAAGGUGUCACCGUUUCUCUGUGCAACAGUCUGUAGAUAGAUGCUCUAUUGAUCCCACAAGGGAACUGGGACCCAAACAUGUGACAUAGUCUGCUUGUGUUAUCCUCACGGAGAACCUCGUUAGAAUAACUGCAUUUCACAAACCACAGUGUCGGUUUUUCAGCCUCCUUUCAUUGAAGUAAAUCAGAUGGCUUUGUCAUGUGACCGCACCUUCAGUAGUUUCAGACGUUUCCUCGGAGUUGUGUACCCAAACCAUGUCUGUUGGUCCAGUCAGAGAAAGAACAACAGAAACGCCUCCAGAUCAGGCUGUUUAGCCAUCUGAUCUGCUUCUCUGUCGUGUGUGGUCAGAGUUUGAGAUCAUUGGAUGUAAAAGAAGCAUUUGUGAACCGCAAGCUUCUCACGGAUUUUCUUAUUUCUCUGCUUUCCUGAGCUGAUGUCAGCUGUUCCCCAGAUCUGAGUCCUGAACAUAAAACAACACAUCAUUGGCGUAGAGCACAUCUCCUCUCACUCCUGUUCAGUCUAAACGUGGCCAAAGCUUCAAAUGAAGAUGUUAACCUGCAGGCCAAGUACAGAAAACACAGCCACGGGUGCUGCCCCUCAGCAGGCUUCCAGAAGACAGCGAGCGUUAUUUCAGUGAGACGGUUUGUUCCAAACAGAAGAUGCUGGCCAGGCUUUAGUGGACCAAGCGUUGAUUGGUCAGUCCACAGGGUGUGGUGAAAUACGUUUUAACUGAGGUUUAAUAAAUAAAUAAAUGUGGGCCGUGUCUUCCUGGCCUCCUGUUAACACAUAAUGGCUGUUUCGACACAUCCAGAAUCAUUUCGUGUCGUUAACGGGCAGCUCACUCUUUGCCUUUAAAUCUAUAUUUCACAGACGUGUGGUCUCAUCACUAAGCCCCACCUCCUGCUGUUGGGUAUCUCGGUAACAAAGUAAACUCAAGCACCUUAAAUCCGUUAAAGCUGACGACAUGUCUCGGCACAUUUGACCAGUGAAAACUAAAACUAACGCAGGACGCUACGCAGCUACUCAGCUUCUGUUUUCACGGCGACAAAAACAGUCAGUAACAUUAGCUUAAACGAGGUCGCUAGCACAAUGCUAACAUUAGCUUUCCUUCUGCUUUGCUGUUUAAGGACGGCCCCUUUCUGGGGUGGAGUUUCUGGUCUCGAUCAGAUGUGGUUUUGUUCCCGACUCCCAGCCUCGUGUCACAUGUCAGCUGCACACAGGUGUUCAUUUUAUUUUCCAAUCAACAAACAAAAGUCACCUGACUGCAAACUAUAUCACCAUGGCAACAUGUUAAUCUGACCCCACCCCCGCUUCUUUUAUUCCUCCUCUCCUUGUUUUAUAAAGAAAUAAAAACACUGUAAAGGUGAAUAAACUAUUUAUA